Hypanus sabinus (Atlantic stingray) is the source of this 1271-nucleotide long non-coding RNA. RefSeq lists it as uncharacterized. The record is from RefSeq and is a predicted model, not a curated record. The transcript is spliced from 2 exons. Lineage: Eukaryota; Metazoa; Chordata; Chondrichthyes; Myliobatiformes; Dasyatidae.
CCAGCUCCACCUCAGUAACAACGCUAAAGCACCUCUUAAACCACCGUAGAGAGACAGACGGGUUUGCUUUAUUUGUAACAUACAUCAAAACACACAGUGAGGCAACGACAAAUGCAGUCCAAGGAUAGAGUGAUUGUAUGAACCACUAUGCUACCAUGCCACCCACGGACUGACCAUACAUACUGUCUUUUUCUCUGCGCUAGGGUCUUGCAGUUGUGGUCUAUCCUCACCCCCAGUGUAUGGUAUAGGGUUUAUGUAACUUCAUGCGCUGCCUGUAACUUUGUACCUACAAAGCCUCUGCAAGUAUGAUUUCAUUCUACCUGUACCUCACUGUAUUUGUGCAUGAGGCAAUUAACUCAACUAGACUUGGGACCUUGUGAAGCCCACCCACCCACCUUGGCUGAACGAGAGAUGAGCAGUGAGUAUUAGCCACAGUCAGUUUCCAGUGGUAACAGAUCACACGUAAGCUGACAGAAAUGUACAACUGCGUGUUUAUUUGCCAUGGGAUAACAAUUUCAGCAUGAACUUUAUCCAGCAUCUCACCAGAAUAUAAUUUACAUUCAGACACUGCAGAUAAAACAAUUUAAAAGGUGGGAGUUACAGCCCAGUGGAGAGAACAUUACCUGAGCUACAGGAGGGGUAGAAAGGGUAGAGUAAUGGACAGCAUGUGGGGGCAGGCAGAGGGGAUGAGGGAGACUGGAGGUGAAGGGCAGAUAGAAUGGAUGACGGAAAGUGGGGGUGUUUGUAGGGGUGAGGGAGAGUGGCAGUGGUUGAGAGUAAGGCAAGGGAAUGAGCAACCCUCACGGUAAGAGGAUGAGGGAGGGGGAGUUUGAGUGAGGUGUGGAGCAAGGAGAUGGGGGUAUGAGGGAGCACGGUGUGUGGGGAGGGGAAGGGGAAUGAGGCCUGCCCAGGAAGCCUUUGCUAGAAAGUCACCCGUGAUCACAGCCAUCACCAUGGACAUGAGCUCUUCCAACCAGAGUUGGUAUGGGCCGCAGCCUUGGGGCUGGAGUCAUGCUGACACUGCGCACAGGGCCAGGACGGUGUGCAACCAGUAGCUCUGGGCGCAGGGAGCCAGGGGCCCGGAGGGGCAGCAGUCUGCCAGAAAAGAAAUGUCACCCGCAGCCCUGCACAGACUGAGGGGCAGUCCAUGUCCCCUCAGCAUGACGGGCAAAGCAGGACACACCCGCACGUGUUCCUGCGGACCACACACAUUCAUUGAACUGUGCCAGAGCCCCGUUCCCCCCAACAAUAUCUAACGCCCCUCCCCACCC